Drosophila melanogaster (fruit fly) is the source of this 352-nucleotide non-coding RNA. NCBI's taxonomy places the organism in Eukaryota, Metazoa, Arthropoda, Insecta, Diptera, Drosophilidae. The record is from Ensembl.
ACCAAAAAUUGUAUGCUAAUUUAAACAAAACUAGAUGUCGAUAUUGUUUAAUUGACCACCAAAAGGUAAAGCGCGGCGGCAUUGGCGGAGAAGAAGACGAAGAUUUUAAUUAGCAUAUUAUGAGAAUCAACACAAAUGCUUAGGUCGCUGGAAACAGGAGAUCUGGCUGAGCAGAUAAGGCUGCAAAUUUAUGAUGGGACAGCCAAAGCGAUACAAAAUGGCAAUACCAACACACAAUUAAAUAGGAAAAAGAGUGAUGGUCGUGGAUUUAUAUACAACGAAUUUCGGCUACUCUACGCAGCAAAAUAAAUCCAAUUUCCCGAACUUUGAGUGCUGAUCACUACGUUUGAUU